This 65-nucleotide transfer RNA is filed under the name Artemia franciscana. RNAcentral's name for it is "transfer RNA-Ser(AGY)". Lineage: Eukaryota; Metazoa; Arthropoda; Branchiopoda; Anostraca; Artemiidae. The record is from RNAcentral.
AGGCAGAAAGAAGGAUGAGAGCUGCUAACUCUUCAACCGGGUAGUUAAAUUCUACUCACUGUCUC